This is a long non-coding RNA of Melanotaenia boesemani (Boeseman's rainbowfish), 148 nucleotides long. RefSeq lists it as uncharacterized. The record is from RefSeq and is a predicted model, not a curated record. The transcript has 3 exons. Lineage: Eukaryota; Metazoa; Chordata; Actinopteri; Atheriniformes; Melanotaeniidae.
UAUGUAUUUAUUCUCACAUUAGCAAAAUUAAGCUGAUAUCAUGCAGCUUUGGCACGCUUUUAAGCAUAAAUGAAUUUCUCCUAAAUCUCACUUCAUGUAUAAACUUCCUAACAAAACAUCCCUUUUAUAAGAUUCAGAAUCAGGAAUA